AACGAACGCUGGCGGCAGGCCUAACACAUGCAAGUCGAACGAGAAGCCAGAGCUUGCUCUGGUGGAAAGUGGCAGACGGGUGAGUAACGCGUGGGAACCUACCCAGGGGUUCGGAAUAACUCAGGGAAACUUGAGCUAAUACCGGAUACGCCUUGCGAGGGAAAGAUUUAUCGCCCUUGGACGGGCCCGCGUCGGAUUAGUUUGUUGGUGGGUAACGGCCUACCAAGACUACGAUCCGUAGCUGGUCUGAGAGGAUGAUCAGCCACACUGGGACUGAGACACGGCCCAGACUCCUACGGGAGGCAGCAGUGGGGAAUCUUGCACAAUGGGCGCAAGCCUGAUGCAGCCAUGCCGCGUGAGUGAAGAAGGCCCUAGGGUUGUAAACUCUUUCAGCGGGGAAGAUAAUGACGGUACCCGCAGAAGAAGCCCCGGCUAACUCCGUG
This 443-nucleotide ribosomal RNA is filed under the name uncultured bacterium. RNAcentral's name for it is "bacterial SSU rRNA". It matches the Rfam family "Bacterial small subunit ribosomal RNA", at positions 29 to 507 of the family's 1533-position model. The record is from RNAcentral.